This 2931-nucleotide ribosomal RNA is filed under the name Klebsiella aerogenes. RNAcentral describes it as "bacterial LSU rRNA". It matches the Rfam family "Bacterial large subunit ribosomal RNA". The record is from RNAcentral. Lineage: Bacteria; Pseudomonadati; Pseudomonadota; Gammaproteobacteria; Enterobacterales; Enterobacteriaceae.
GGGUUGUGAGGUUAAGCGACUAAGCGUACACGGUGGAUGCCCUGGCAGUCAGAGGCGAUGAAGGACGUGCUAAUCUGCGAAAAGCGUCGGUAAGGUGAUAUGAACCGUUAUAACCGGCGAUGUCCGAAUGGGGAAACCCAGUGCAAUUCGUUGCACUAUCGUUAACUGAAUACAUAGGUUAACGAGGCGAACCGGGGGAACUGAAACAUCUAAGUACCCCGAGGAAAAGAAAUCAACCGAGAUUCCCCCAGUAGCGGCGAGCGAACGGGGAGCAGCCCAGAGUCUGAAUCAGCUUGUGUGUUAGUGGAACGGUCUGGAAAGUCCGACGGUACAGGGUGAUAGUCCCGUACACCAAAAUGCACAGGCUGUGAACUCGAAGAGUAGGGCGGGACACGUGGUAUCCUGUCUGAAUAUGGGGGGACCAUCCUCCAAGGCUAAAUACUCCUGACUGACCGAUAGUGAACCAGUACCGUGAGGGAAAGGCGAAAAGAACCCCGGCGAGGGGAGUGAAAAAGAACCUGAAACCGUGUACGUACAAGCAGUGGGAGCACCUUCGGGUGUGACUGCGUACCUUUUGUAUAAUGGGUCAGCGACUUAUAUUCUGUAGCAAGGUUAACCGUAUAGGGGAGCCGCAGGGAAACCGAGUCUUAACUGGGCGUUAAGUUGCAGGGUAUAGACCCGAAACCCGGUGAUCUAGCCAUGGGCAGGUUGAAGGUUGGGUAACACUAACUGGAGGACCGAACCGACUAAUGUUGAAAAAUUAGCGGAUGACUUGUGGCUGGGGGUGAAAGGCCAAUCAAACCGGGAGAUAGCUGGUUCUCCCCGAAAGCUAUUUAGGUAGCGCCUCGUGAACUCAUCUUCGGGGGUAGAGCACUGUUUCGGCUAGGGGGUCAUCCCGACUUACCAACCCGAUGCAAACUACGAAUACCGAAGAAUGUUAUCACGGGAGACACACGGCGGGUGCUAACGUCCGUCGUGAAGAGGGAAACAACCCAGACCGCCAGCUAAGGUCCCAAAGUCACAGUUAAGUGGGAAACGAUGUGGGAAGGCACAGACAGCCAGGAUGUUGGCUUAGAAGCAGCCAUCAUUUAAAGAAAGCGUAAUAGCUCACUGGUCGAGUCGGCCUGCGCGGAAGAUGUAACGGGGCUAAACUGUGCACCGAAGCUGCGGCAGCGACACUAUGUGUUGUUGGGUAGGGGAGCGUUCUGUAAGCCUGCGAAGGUGGCCUGUGAGGGUUGCUGGAGGUAUCAGAAGUGCGAAUGCUGACAUAAGUAACGAUAAUGCGGGUGAAAAGCCCGCACGCCGGAAGACCAAGGGUUCCUGUCCAACGUUAAUCGGGGCAGGGUGAGUCGACCCCUAAGGCGAGGCCGAAAGGCGUAGUCGAUGGGAAACAGGUUAAUAUUCCUGUACUUGGUGUUACUGCGAAGGGGGGACGGAGAAGGCUAUGUUAGCCGGGCGACGGUUGUCCCGGUUUAAGCAUGUAGGCGGAGGUUCCAGGUAAAUCCGGUACCUUUUUAACGCUGAGGUGUGAUGACGAGGCACUACGGUGCUGAAGUAACAAAUGCCCUGCUUCCAGGAAAAGCCUCUAAGCAUCAGGUAACAUUGAAUCGUACCCCAAACCGACACAGGUGGUCAGGUAGAGAAUACCAAGGCGCUUGAGAGAACUCGGGUGAAGGAACUAGGCAAAAUGGUGCCGUAACUUCGGGAGAAGGCACGCUGAUAUGUAGGUGAAGCCCCUGCGGGUGGAGCUGAAAUCAGUCGAAGAUACCAGCUGGCUGCAACUGUUUAUUAAAAACACAGCACUGUGCAAACACGAAAGUGGACGUAUACGGUGUGACGCCUGCCCGGUGCCGGAAGGUUAAUUGAUGGGGUUAUCCGUAAGGAGAAGCUCUUGAUCGAAGCCCCGGUAAACGGCGGCCGUAACUAUAACGGUCCUAAGGUAGCGAAAUUCCUUGUCGGGUAAGUUCCGACCUGCACGAAUGGCGUAAUGAUGGCCAGGCUGUCUCCACCCGAGACUCAGUGAAAUUGAACUCGCUGUGAAGAUGCAGUGUACCCGCGGCAAGACGGAAAGACCCCGUGAACCUUUACUAUAGCUUGACACUGAACAUUGAGCCUUGAUGUGUAGGAUAGGUGGGAGGCUUUGAAGCGUGGACGCCAGUCUGCGUGGAGCCAACCUUGAAAUACCACCCUUUAAUGUUUGAUGUUCUAACGUUGGCCCCUGAUCGGGGUUGCGGACAGUGUCUGGUGGGUAGUUUGACUGGGGCGGUCUCCUCCCAAAGAGUAACGGAGGAGCACGAAGGUUAGCUAAUCCUGGUCGGACAUCAGGAGGUUAGUGCAAUGGCAUAAGCUAGCUUGACUGCGAGCGUGACGGCGCGAGCAGGUGCGAAAGCAGGUCAUAGUGAUCCGGUGGUUCUGAAUGGAAGGGCCAUCGCUCAACGGAUAAAAGGUACUCCGGGGAUAACAGGCUGAUACCGCCCAAGAGUUCAUAUCGACGGCGGUGUUUGGCACCUCGAUGUCGGCUCAUCACAUCCUGGGGCUGAAGUAGGUCCCAAGGGUAUGGCUGUUCGCCAUUUAAAGUGGUACGCGAGCUGGGUUUAGAACGUCGUGAGACAGUUCGGUCCCUAUCUGCCGUGGGCGCUGGAGAAUUGAGGGGGGCUGCUCCUAGUACGAGAGGACCGGAGUGGACGCAUCACUGGUGUUCGGGUUGUCAUGCCAAUGGCAUUGCCCGGUAGCUAAAUGCGGAAGAGAUAAGUGCUGAAAGCAUCUAAGCACGAAACUUGCCCCGAGAUGAGUUCUCCCUGACUCCUUGAGAGUCCUGAAGGAACGUUAAAGACGAUGACGUUGAUAGGUCGGGUGUGUAAGCGUAGCGAUACGUUGAGCUAACCGAUACUAAUGAACCGUGAGGCUUAACCUUACAACGCCGAAGCUGUU